This is a non-coding RNA of Oryza glaberrima (African rice), 208 nucleotides long. The record is from Rfam. NCBI's taxonomy places the organism in Eukaryota, Viridiplantae, Streptophyta, Magnoliopsida, Poales, Poaceae.
AAUAAAUAUAGUUUUGCACUAUUCACGUUCAACGUUUGACCGUUCAUCUUAUUUAAAAAAAUUUUAUGAUUACUAUUUUUAUUGUUAUUACAUGAUAAAAUAUAAAUAGUACUUAAUGUGUGACUAAAUAUUUUUAAAUUUUUCAUAAAUUUUUUAAAUAAGACGGAUGGUCAAACGUUGAGCACGGAUAUCCACGGCUGCACUUAUU